This is a long non-coding RNA of Oncorhynchus keta (chum salmon), 1761 nucleotides long. RefSeq lists it as uncharacterized. Lineage: Eukaryota; Metazoa; Chordata; Actinopteri; Salmoniformes; Salmonidae. The transcript is spliced from 2 exons. The record is from RefSeq and is a predicted model, not a curated record.
UACUGACUGCAUAAAGGCAAAUCCCGACAGAAAGGCAAAAAAUGAAUUUUCCCCCAGCGGGAAAUGGAAGUUCUUGUAGGGGAGACUGAUGCAAGAAAAACAAUAUUGUUUGGUGGACACAAUGUGGGCAUUACAAAUACCAGAAAGGCGUUAGCGUCCAACCACAUACUGCCACUCUGUAUGCUGCUGGCUCAGAAGGUCGGAACCUCUCAGAAAAAGUGGUCCGACAUAAACGUGGAGGCCAAAAGGCGCAUAGCCUUACACAGACAAAGUGUUGGUGCCAUUGGGCGGGGAAUGGGGACACCGGAAAUCAAGCGACUUGCUGUGUUCUAGGGGAAUCGCUCCUGAGUGGAGUAGUGACGGAGAGGGACACGGAUAUACACGACACACCGGAAGAUCCAGUUGCUGCGUGUUCCAGCGGAGUCGGUGGUGCUGCAGCUGAGCUGAGUGCGCCCAGCCCCGGGGUCUCCACUGCACCUCACAAUGCUCCAGCGACCGUCUCCUCACAUAUGCAAUCCUACAAAUGCAAAGAGACACCAUCGACGCUAUCAACGAGGUUGCCAAGGAGUUGAAGUGGGACAGUCAUGGCUUGUUUUCUGCAGGUGCUUCUCUGUGAAGCUGGGUCCACUACAGCACAGAGAUCCAAGAGAACAGCUAUUGGUAAUCGAAACUGGUUCAUAAGCCACUCAUCAUUGGCCAGUAAAUCUAGCUGGUCUCUGAAUUCUCUCUCCGAAUUCUUCUAUUCGCCAAAUCUUCCAACCGUGCCAAAGCAGCAACUGUGCUCCAUUACGUAUCGGUAUUGCGUGCCUUUUUAUACCCACCCAUUUGAUUGUCAAAACGUACCAAUUGCGUAACACCUUCAGGUGUGGUAAAUACCCUGAUUGUAACUGACAAUGACAGGGCCAUUAUCACAUUGACAGUUCUGCGCAACGAACAUGAGAACAAUAAAUGAAACUGUGCACUCCUAUCUGCCCGACUGAGGCAUCGAAAACGACAUCAGUUUUAAACGUAAUUUGUCCUACCAUUCACCUUAUAUUUUAUGAGAAUACAUUUCAUAACAUGUAAGUAUUGUUUUAAUAAUUACAGAUCCAAUUAAAUAUGAUUCCCGAUCAAACUACAACAUAUUUGAGGGGUUAUUUUGUAAAAACAUAUCUCCGUUUGUAUUGAUUAUCCUAAAUCAUGUUUUCUUUAGUGUGCACUCAAGGGAACUCUUCAUAUAUAAUACAAGAGAGGUAAUAUUUCGAUUUAUUUUAGACAAUUAGUAUCAAUUUCAAAGCUUUUCUCAAGUUUCAUCCUUCUGCCAUCGGACUCCGUUUCUAAUUUCUCCAGUUUAUGUGCGUAAGUACGGGUCAAAGUGUCCGUGGAGGACCGCACAUUCUCCCAUCACGUUAGUAUUUUAGAAAUCCCAAAGUUGUCUUAGAAAGUGGCAUAAGCCUUUUGUGCCUACUCAACGCUUAUAAAUGAGGCCCCUGGGCCUUAUUGACAUAGGUGGUGUGCUUGCAUAACUGCAAGGGUUGCUGGUUUAAUGCCUGGUCGCUUGGCUGUUGCCCUCUAAUAGCUCAAAUCAGUUUUGAACUGGCUAUUAAAGUAUGUGUAGAAUUUACCAUGGAUAGUCAAAAGUAAUUGUAUGCCGUUUUCAGACGUUGAGUAGCUCAAUUGAUUGUGACAGUCUUACAUUGUAAAAUAAGACUCCAUUUCCAUUGAAAGUAAAGUAAAAGAUAACCAUUUUAAGUCAUUGACUUUUGAAGGUUGUAUAAAUCG